RNAcentral lists this ribosomal RNA (253 nucleotides) under uncultured bacterium. RNAcentral's name for it is "partial 16S ribosomal RNA". It matches the Rfam family "Bacterial small subunit ribosomal RNA", at positions 524 to 776 of the family's 1533-position model. The record is from RNAcentral.
GACAGAGGGUGCAAACGUUGUUCGGAAUUACUGGGCGUAAAGCGCGUGUAGGCGGCACGGCAAGUCGGAUGUGAAAGCCCGCGUCUCAACCGUGGAAGUGCACUCGAAACUGCCGAGCUAGAGUCUCGGAGAGGAAGGUGGAAUGCUUGGUGUAGAGGUGAAAUUCGUAGAUAUCAAGCAGAACACCUGUGGCGAAGGCGGCCUUCUGGACGAUGACUGACGCUGAGACGCGAAAGCGUGGGGAGCAAACAGG